RNAcentral lists this ribosomal RNA (497 nucleotides) under uncultured bacterium. RNAcentral describes it as "partial 16S ribosomal RNA". It matches the Rfam family "Bacterial small subunit ribosomal RNA", at positions 28 to 507 of the family's 1533-position model. The record is from RNAcentral.
GAUGAACGCUGGCGGCGUGCCUAAUACAUGCAAGUCGAGCGAACAGACGAGGAGCUUGCUCCUCUGACGUUAGCGGCGGACGGGUGAGUAACACGUGGAUAACCUACCUAUAAGACUGGGAUAACUUCGGGAAACCGGAGCUAAUACCGGAUAAUAUAUUGAACCGCAUGGUUCAAUAGUGAAAUACGGUUUUGCUGUCACUUAUAGAUGGAUCCGCGCCGCAUUAGCUAGUUGGUAAGGUAACGGCUUACCAAGGCUACGAUGCGUAGCCGACCUGAGAGGGUGAUCGGCCACACUGGAACUGAGACACGGUCCAGACUCCUACGGGAGGCAGCAGUAGGGAAUCUUCCGCAAUGGGCGAAAGCCUGACGGAGCAACGCCGCGUGAGUGAUGAAGGUCUUCGGAUCGUAAAACUCUGUUAUUAGGGAAGAACAAAUGUGUAAGUAACUAUGCACGUCUUGACGGUACCUAAUCAGAAAGCCACGGCUAACUACGUG